AUGAGAAUAUGAUUAUCCUCUGUGGGCACCUUCACUUUAGCUACCGUGGUGGCAAACCUUUUACCUCAGAUUGAAGAAAACUAACCACACACCAAAGCACACGGAAAUGCACUGAAUGCGGUAGAUGGAGACUGGUGGAAGAACGCUGGAGCAUUCAUAGACAGCAAUGUGAUUUCAAUCUUUCAACCUGAAGCACGCAGGCCCUCCACUCCUGCUUCAUUGCUGAAGGAGCAGAAGAGCCGGCGUCGACAUCCACUCAUGGGUUUCAUUCCUGACCUUGACAAGAAUCAUCCGCCGCAGCCUUCUGCAAGAUAAGGAGGUGCCUAGCAGGCGUUACCUGGCAACAGGUACCGUCAGAGCAGAGCUCUGGGGUAGUGUCGCCUUUUCCGAUGCUGCUAUUAGAUCUCUUCUGCUUGUGAGUGCGUUUAUCGAUUUAUUCCCUGGCCGCAUCAUUGAGACAGUCCCACCUCUCGUUUUCCUCAUUCGGAUAACUUCACUGCCUUCAUCUCAAUUCAGUAUGGCACCCACAAGAGCACAUUAUACCACAGUGGUUUGGUUGUCAUUAUGAAUGGCCCCUGUUGGGUUAAUCGUCUUUUGUACCUGUCGAUACAUCUGAUGAAAAGAAGUCAAACACUGAAUGCUAUUCUAUGUAUAUAAUAACACCUGUUACUUAACACACUUAUAGUGAAAGCAGCUGGGGUGAUUUUCUUUAUCGCUCAUGAAUGAACGUUCCCACCAAACGUAAGCCUAUACGAUCGUCUCUAUCUUGCAUGCUAAACCAGCCAGCAUGAGCUUUUAAGCCUCUGACCGCUGCCACCAGGGGACAUUGGGAAACACAUAGCAUCUGGACUUAAUUGGAAGUGUUAUUGAAGAAAUCGGACACUUAUUACACACCCAAACUCUACGUCCGUCCCGUCAGUUUCUAGGCGCAAACUGGCAUUAGUAUCAAAUUGAAUAUAAUUAGAUUCUAUGAGAACAAAAGAGUUUAGCAACACAGGAGCAAAGCAGGAAGACAGUGAGAGGGAUUUUUCUUUCCCACAGUGAAUCUUCCUUUGUUAACAUGAUAACGGAUAACAUUCUGUCACAAUGACUUACGGUGAGCUGCACACUGCACUCUGUAGAAAGACCAGAUUGACCUCGCAGUUCAUCAACCUUUUCAAAGCCGAUAACUCUUUCUGGCAACCAUCGACUCCAUACCCACAAUAAAAUUCUGCUUCUGUUUA
Long non-coding RNA from Pygocentrus nattereri (red-bellied piranha), 1223 nucleotides. RefSeq lists it as uncharacterized. NCBI's taxonomy places the organism in Eukaryota, Metazoa, Chordata, Actinopteri, Characiformes, Serrasalmidae. The transcript is spliced from 3 exons. The record is from RefSeq and is a predicted model, not a curated record.